This 882-nucleotide ribosomal RNA is filed under the name Salmonella enterica subsp. enterica serovar Infantis. Its description in RNAcentral is "partial 23S ribosomal RNA". It matches the Rfam family "Bacterial large subunit ribosomal RNA", at positions 2061 to 2925 of the family's 2925-position model. The record is from RNAcentral. RNAcentral also lists the same sequence under 1 other name. Lineage: Bacteria; Pseudomonadati; Pseudomonadota; Gammaproteobacteria; Enterobacterales; Enterobacteriaceae.
GCAGUGUACCCGCGGCAAGACGGAAAGACCCCGUGAACCUUUACUAUAGCUUGACACUGAACAUUGAGCCUUGAUGUGUAGGAUAGGUGGGAGGCUUUGAAGCGUGGACGCCAGUCUGCGUGGAGCCGACCUUGAAAUACCACCCUUUAAUGUUUGAUGUUCUAACGUGGAUCCGUAAUCCGGGUUGCGGACAGUGUCUGGUGGGUAGUUUGACUGGGGCGGUCUCCUCCUAAAGAGUAACGGAGGAGCACGAAGGUUGGCUAAUCCUGGUCGGACAUCAGGAGGUUAGUGCAAUGGCAUAAGCCAGCUUGACUGCGAGCGUGACGGCGCGAGCAGGUGCGAAAGCAGGUCAUAGUGAUCCGGUGGUUCUGAAUGGAAGGGCCAUCGCUCAACGGAUAAAAGGUACUCCGGGGAUAACAGGCUGAUACCGCCCAAGAGUUCAUAUCGACGGCGGUGUUUGGCACCUCGAUGUCGGCUCAUCACAUCCUGGGGCUGAAGUAGGUCCCAAGGGUAUGGCUGUUCGCCAUUUAAAGUGGUACGCGAGCUGGGUUUAGAACGUCGUGAGACAGUUCGGUCCCUAUCUGCCGUGGGCGCUGGAGAACUGAGGGGGGCUGCUCCUAGUACGAGAGGACCGGAGUGGACGCAUCACUGGUGUUCGGGUUGUCAUGCCAAUGGCACUGCCCGGUAGCUAAAUGCGGAAGAGAUAAGUGCUGAAAGCAUCUAAGCACGAAACUUGCCCCGAGAUGAGUUCUCCCUGAGACUUUAAGUCUCCUGAAGGAACGUUGAAGACGACGACGUUGAUAGGCCGGGUGUGUAAGCGCAGCGAUGCGUUGAGCUAACCGGUACUAAUGAACCGUGAGGCUUAACCUUACAACGCCGAAG